AAAAAAUAGGAUUGAACUAUAAUUUAGUGAGUAUACAAUGAUUGACAACAUGUGGUUUGAUACUUUGCAGCAGCAAUUUUGUAAAAUGCAGUUUUCAUGAAAAUUGUCACUGGUGUUACUGUCACUGGUGUUACCUUCCUUAUAGGUAACACCAGUAAAGAUCAGUGACACCAGUGACUGAUGAUUUGUUGUGUCACUGGUGUUACUGUAUUUUUUUUUCACAUUAAAUAAAAUCUUUCACGUGUGACAUGAUGAUCAUUUUAAAUGCAUUGAGUUCUGCUACACUUAAGAAUUAACUUUAAAGCUGAAAAAAAUUAUAUUUUAAAAUUUCAUAAACACCUUUAAUAUUGCUAUAGAAGUAAGGUAACACCAGUGACAAAAAAUGGUGUAUACAGUCUUUAAGUACAUGCACACAAAAAAUAAAAAAUCAUUAAGCUGUCAUUUAUGUGUACUCAUAAAGUUAAAGAGUAAUCUAAUAAUGUGGUCUAAGUUUAAAUGUUAGAAAAAUAAAUCAAUUUUAAGACAUCUUGACAUACCAAAAGUGGACGUUUGUGUAGAAUGACCCUUAUAGCAACUCCUCACUAGUCAAGUUGAAAUGAAUUGUAAAUUCAAGUUGAUUAAACCUAACAAUGUAAGUGCAACAAGGAAUUUUUUUAGAGGCACAAAUAUGUAUAUGCACCCUUAAGGUACAAAGGUGUACUUUUUGAAAUAGUUCCUGAACAGGUUUUGUACCUUUAUUUCCCGAGGGUGCACAGACACUGCUGUUGUGCACACACAGCAAAAAGUAAUUUAAUCAAUCUAAAAACUUAUUUAAAAAAAUACUUAAAAUUACUUUAAUUGGUAAUAUUUUUUUUAUUUUCUCACUUUCACUAAGUUUAAACAUUUUGGGGUGGUUUCCCGGACUGCGCUUUUGCUUGUCCCAGACUAAAAUGCAUGUUUGAGCUGCUUAAUUUAAGAAGAUCUUGCCAUGACAUAUCAUAACAUAUAUCAGUGCCAUUGCCUUAAAUUUCUUCUAAAUGUUUGCAAAAACGUUAGAACAACUUAGACCACACAUACACAAUAAUCAUGAACAAGGAAACAGAACCCUAUAAUAUAUAUCUGUGUUAUAUAUUUUCUAUAAUUUUUUCCUUGUUGCGUAUGUCUAAGUUGUUCAUAUGUUUUGCAAACAUUUAAAAUAAAUUUUAGUAUUAAAGUUUUUGUUGAAUCAUAUUUUUUUAGUUAAAACACCUGUAUGCAAAUUUUACGAACAAAUGUGUGCGUACGCAUGCUUAGUGAAUGAGACCCAUUGUUUGGGAAACUUCCCCUAAAUGUGUUACCAAUUGAAGUAAUUUUUUUAUUUCACCUGAAAAUUUUCAAUGGAAAUAUAAAGAGUCCACACUGGAUUGAGUUAAAGCCAUUUUAUUUUACUCUAUGUUUUGACACCAACUAUUUAUGUUCAAAGUGUUACCACUAUUAAGAAAAUCAGUGUUUUGUUAGUGGUGUUUGUUAACUCCUAGAAGACCUCCCGUGUUUUUGGUUGAUGCCGUUUAAGCAGAUCAUCGUCUCUUUCACUGUAAAUGGAGAUUUGCUUUGGUGGACUUUGGAAGAGCACAGAACAAGGUCAAGCUUUAUUAAAAUUCCUUAUGAGCAAUUUAGAUAGAGCGGUUGUCAAAAAAAAACACAAUGGACCCAUAAACUACAAUAAAAACAUGAACAUUUAUUCAGACUGAAUUUUAUAAUGAAAUGAGUAUUUUGUGCAAAACAUAAAUGUACUGAUUUGAACGUUUUUUGUAAUGUGUUCUGUGUGUGAAUUCAGUAAUGUAAUCUUUAAAUAUUAGUUUCUGCGGUGUAGUUAUCAGUUGUUUUUUACUAAUGCAUUUUUCUCUUUUACUUUUGUUGUAUUAACAGCAAAGCUCAAUAUCCUGUCUGACGGUCUAACCGAGGAUCUUAUCACCUCCUUACAACUGCUGGUUCAUGAUUUUCUACUGUUAUCAUGUGAAAAUGAAGUGAAGACCAACAUGGCUUUUGGAAUGAAAUGAAGUCAAACUUGUUUGUAUGAACUGAAGCAUCCCAUGAAUUCUGUGUUUUUUUGUUAAAUAUCUGUACUAUUGUUAUACAUUGGGAGUGUGCUUUUUAGUUGUCACAGAUGUCUUUUUUAAUGAACACUUAAAUGGA
Non-coding RNA from Misgurnus anguillicaudatus (oriental weatherfish), 2154 nucleotides. NCBI's taxonomy places the organism in Eukaryota, Metazoa, Chordata, Actinopteri, Cypriniformes, Cobitidae. The record is from RefSeq and is a predicted model, not a curated record.